Molecule: ribosomal RNA, 492 nt
Filed under: uncultured bacterium
Lineage: Bacteria
Description: partial 16S ribosomal RNA
Rfam family: Bacterial small subunit ribosomal RNA
Source: RNAcentral
AGUGAACGCUGGCGGUAGGCCUAACACAUGCAAGUCGAACGGCAGCACAGUAAGAGCUUGCUCUUACGGGUGGCGAGUGGCGGACGGGUGCGGAAUACAUCGGAAUCUACUUUUUCGUGGGGGAUAACGUAGGGAAACUUACGCUAAUACCGCAUACGACCUACGGGUGAAAGCAGGGGAUCUUCGGACCUUGCGCGAUUGAAUGAGCCGAUGUCGGGUUAGCUAGUUGGCGGGGUAAAGGCCCACCAAGGCGACGAUCCGUAGCUGGUCUGAGAGGAUGAUCAGCCACACUGGAACUGAGACACGGUCCAGACUCCUACGGGAGGCAGCAGUGGGGAAUAUUGGACAAUGGGCGCAAGCCUGAUCCAGCCAUACCGCGUGGGUGAAGAAGGCCUUCGGGUUGUAAAGCCCUUUUGUUGGGAAAGAAAAGCAGCAGGUUAAUACCCCGCUGUUCUGACGGUACCCAAAGAAUAAGCACCGGCUAACUUCGUG